RNAcentral lists this unclassified non-coding RNA (802 nucleotides) under Hevea brasiliensis (rubber tree). The record is from RNAcentral. Lineage: Eukaryota; Viridiplantae; Streptophyta; Magnoliopsida; Malpighiales; Euphorbiaceae.
UUUAAAUCUCAAUGGUGUAAUCCUUCUUUUUUUAACGAGAAGGAGAUAUCAUUAAAGAAAAAACCAAGAUUACAAACUCCAUAUCUAAAGUCCUCUGACCAAAACAAUUGCACUAACUAAAUAAGGCCAAAAAUGAAAAAGGUCGAAGGCCUCACAUCCAAAACUCAAACCUAGAUUUAGAAAGAAAAUGGGUCAAGGUCCAUACUCCUAACUCGGUUACCAUCACCAAAACAAAGCCUCCUUGUAGACAGAAGAACCAAAGGCGACCACCGAGAUGAUAGAAGCAGACCACUAAGCACAACAACACAUAGGAGCUUCACCUAGAAAGAUGGCACAUACACCAUCAUACCACACCCCCUCAUAAAGAGACCCGCCCUUCGUGGCAACUACUUUGGCUGAAGGGACUAAAGAUGGAGAUGUCCAAAGAAUUCAGAAACAGGCAUGGCAGAGUUUAGCUUUUUGGCUUCUCGUUCUCCUGUAGCCACAUGGAAUUGAAGACCCAGACAGUUCCCUUCCUUAAGAGUACUAGCCAAACGAGAUGACCCAUAGAUCAACAACUAAAACUUUUACCCAGAUCUGAUUUGUAGGAACCUUUGCCAAAGAAAACGCAUAGAUCUGCAACAUCACACAAAGUAGAUCUUCAAAACUAUACACCCCUAAAUCCGAAAAAGAGGAGAGGGAAAUCCUUGUUGCCGGUUGGGAAAUAGCCAUCCCCAACCCCUAAGGGCUAGGAAAUGGCCACUGAAUAGACUGAAGAAAGACUAAGAUGAGGCAUUUUUUCCCUCUCACUUACAAAGGAGAC